GCUGGGUGUGGUGGCUCACACCUGUAAUCCCAGCACUUUGGGAGGUCGAGGCAGGAGGAUCCCUUGGGCCCAGGAGUUCUAGACCAGCCUGGGCAAUAUAGGGAGACCCUGUCUCUA
Molecule: signal recognition particle RNA, 117 nt
Filed under: Gorilla gorilla gorilla (western lowland gorilla)
Lineage: Eukaryota; Metazoa; Chordata; Mammalia; Primates; Hominidae
Also listed under: 1 other name
Description: Metazoan signal recognition particle RNA
Rfam family: Metazoan signal recognition particle RNA
About the family: The signal recognition particle (SRP) is a universally conserved ribonucleoprotein. It is involved in the co-translational targeting of proteins to membranes.
Source: Rfam by way of RNAcentral